Hyaena hyaena (striped hyena) is the source of this 684-nucleotide long non-coding RNA. RefSeq lists it as uncharacterized. Lineage: Eukaryota; Metazoa; Chordata; Mammalia; Carnivora; Hyaenidae. The transcript has 4 exons. The record is from RefSeq and is a predicted model, not a curated record.
UUCCAAGAUGGCCUCCGAGUUCUGUCUUAACGCGCGCGGAACAAAGCCAAUUGAACACCCUUAAGCUUAGCGGAAAGCAAGAAUUGUAUGACUGGCGUUAAGAGUGUAGGGAAACUAAGGCACCAGGAGGUCAAGUCGUUGCUGGAAGCAUCACAGCUAGUAAAUGAGGGAAACGGAGAGUCCAGCCCACACAGUGUAAGGAGAGCCUGCGCCCAGGCUGCCGCCUCCAAAAACACUGCGGGGAGUCCGUGAUGUCUUCUAAUUGCAGCACUUUCAGGGACAAGCGUUCUUUCAGGUUCCCCCUGAACAUUGAUCUCUUCUGACAUUUGCUGCGGAUCCGUCGGGUGUGCACGUGAUACUCAGAUUCUGACAGCAAUUUAGCGAAAACCACUGAAGUAGAUUCAUACAUCUGCCCUCUCUUCCCGAUGACUCCACAGGCAUAGAUGGUGCAGGACAAAAAAGUUCACUUCGUGCAGGACCUGAGGAAAACUGAAGGAACCCACCACCCACUAGAAAGGACCUAAAAGCGAAGUUGGAGUCCUGAGACCCAUGUUUUGUUGAAAAGACUCCAUAGAGUGUGGGUAAGGUGGCUCUACUGCUGAGAAAAUGGAAAUAAAUUGCCUCUUUCAGACCCUAGAGAGCUGCCCAGAAAUUCACCUUUCAUUCUGGGUUAGAAAAUCCAAA